This 253-nucleotide ribosomal RNA is filed under the name uncultured bacterium. RNAcentral describes it as "partial 16S ribosomal RNA". It matches the Rfam family "Bacterial small subunit ribosomal RNA", at positions 524 to 776 of the family's 1533-position model. The record is from RNAcentral.
CACGUAGGGGGCAAGCGUUGUCCGGAUUUAUUGGGCGUAAAGAGCGUGUAGGCGGCCAGGUAGGUCCGCUGUGAAAACUCGAGGCUCAACCUCGAGAUGUCGGCGGAAACCAUCUGGCUAGAGUCCGGAAGAGGAGAGUGGAAUUCCUGGUGUAGCGGUGAAAUGCGCAGAUAUCAGGAAGAACACCCGUGGCGAAGGCGGCUCUCUGGGACGGUACUGACGCUGAGACGCGAAAGCGUGGGGAGCGAACAGG